GAUGAACGCUGGCGGCGUGCUUAACACAUGCAAGUCGAGCGAAGCGCUUUGACGGAUUUCUUCGGAUUGAAGUCUUAGUGACUGAGCGGCGGACGGGUGAGUAACGCGUGGGUAACCUGCCUCAUACAGGGGGAUAACAGUUGGAAACGACUGCUAAUACCGCAUAAGCGCACAGUACCGCAUGGUACGGUGUGAAAAACUCCGGUGGUAUGAGAUGGACCCGCGUCUGAUUAGGUAGUUGGUGGGGUAACGGCCUACCAAGCCGACGAUCAGUAGCCGACCUGAGAGGGUGACCGGCCACAUUGGGACUGAGACACGGCCCAAACUCCUACGGGAGGCAGCAGUGGGGAAUAUUGCACAAUGGGGGAAACCCUGAUGCAGCGACGCCGCGUGAGCGAUGAAGUAUUUCGGUAUGUAAAGCUCUAUCAGCAGGGAAGAAAAUGACGGUACCUGACUAAGAAGCCCCGGCUAACUACGUGCCAGCAGCCGCGGUAAUACGUAGGGGGCAAGCGUUAUCCGGAUUUACUGGGUGUAAAGGGAGCGUAGACGGCAUGGCAAGCCAGAUGUGAAAGCCCGGGGCUCAACCCCGGGACUGCAUUUGGAACUGUCAGGCUAGAGUGUCGGAGAGGAAAGCGGAAUUCCUAGUGUAGCGGUGAAAUGCGUAGAUAUUAGGAGGAACACCAGUGGCGAAGGCGGCUUUCUGGACGAUGACUGACGUUGAGGCUCGAAAGCGUGGGGAGCAAACAGG
This 748-nucleotide ribosomal RNA is filed under the name uncultured bacterium. Its description in RNAcentral is "bacterial SSU rRNA". It matches the Rfam family "Bacterial small subunit ribosomal RNA", at positions 28 to 776 of the family's 1533-position model. The record is from RNAcentral.